Ectocarpus siliculosus is the source of this 71-nucleotide transfer RNA. It matches the Rfam family "tRNA". Rfam says of the family: Transfer RNA (tRNA) molecules are approximately 80 nucleotides in length. Their secondary structure includes four short double-helical elements and three loops (D, anti-codon, and T loops). Lineage: Eukaryota; Phaeophyceae; Ectocarpales; Ectocarpaceae. The record is from Rfam.
ACACGUGUGGUGUAGUGGUAACAUGUAACCCUCCCACGGUUACGCCCGGAGUUCGAUUCUCCGUACGUGUA